GAACACAAUUGGAACCCCCUGUUUUCCCUUCUCAUCUGAUCUAGGAAGGUAAGCAGGGUCAGGCCUGGUUAGUACUUGGAUGGAAGACUGCCUGGGAAUACCAGGUUCUGUAAGCU
This is a non-coding RNA of Salmo salar (Atlantic salmon), 116 nucleotides long. NCBI's taxonomy places the organism in Eukaryota, Metazoa, Chordata, Actinopteri, Salmoniformes, Salmonidae. The record is from Rfam.